This 131-nucleotide ribosomal RNA is filed under the name Rhizopus arrhizus. RNAcentral describes it as "Rhizopus oryzae partial small subunit ribosomal RNA". It matches the Rfam family "Eukaryotic small subunit ribosomal RNA", at positions 799 to 924 of the family's 1831-position model. The record is from RNAcentral. Lineage: Eukaryota; Fungi; Mucoromycota; Mucoromycetes; Mucorales; Rhizopodaceae.
GCUUGAUGUGUUAGCAUGGAAUAAUGAAAUAUGACUUUAGUCCUAUUUUCGUUGGUUUAGGUACUUCAGUAAUGAUGAAUAGAAACGGUUAGGGGCAUUUGUAUUUGGUCGCUAGAGGUGAAAUUCUUGGA